AACGAACGCUGGCGGCAUGCCUAACACAUGCAAGUCGAACGAGCCCUUCGGGUCUAGUGUCGCACGGGUGCGUAACGCGUGGGAACCUGCCCUUAGGUUCGGAAUAACUCCCCGACAGGGGUGCUAAUACCGGAUAAUGUCUUCGGACCAAAGAUUUAUCGCCUUUGGAUGGGCCCGCGUUGGAUUAGCUAGUUGGUAGGGUAAACGCCUACCAAGGCGACUAUCCAUAGCUGGUCUGAGAGGAUGAUCAGGCACACUGGGACUGAGACACGGCCCAGACUCCUACGGGAGGCAGCAGGUGGGAAUAUUGGACAAUGGGCGAAAGCCUGAGCCAGCAAUGCCGCGUGAGUGAGGAAGGCCUGAGGGUUGUAAAGCUCUUUUACCCGGGAUGAUAAUGACAGUACCGGGAGAAUAAGCGCCGGCUAACUCCGUG
This 433-nucleotide ribosomal RNA is filed under the name uncultured bacterium. RNAcentral describes it as "partial 16S ribosomal RNA". It matches the Rfam family "Bacterial small subunit ribosomal RNA", at positions 29 to 507 of the family's 1533-position model. The record is from RNAcentral.